UACAGAGGUGGCUAGCGUUGUUCGGAUUUAUUGGGUGUAAAGGGUGCGUAGGCGGUUUGGAAAGUCGGAUGUGAAAUCCUAUGGCUUAACCAUAGAAUUGCAUUCGAAACUUCUAAACUCGAGUGCGAGAGAGGUGAAGGGAAUUCCCGGUGUAAGGGUGAAAUCUGUAGAGAUCGGGAGGAACACCAGUAGCGAAGGCGCUUCACUGGCUCGUAACUGACGCUGAGAGCACGAAAGCGUGGGGAGCGAACGGG
RNAcentral lists this ribosomal RNA (254 nucleotides) under uncultured bacterium. RNAcentral's name for it is "partial 16S ribosomal RNA". It matches the Rfam family "Bacterial small subunit ribosomal RNA", at positions 524 to 776 of the family's 1533-position model. The record is from RNAcentral.